This 28-nucleotide non-coding RNA is filed under the name Mus musculus (house mouse). Lineage: Eukaryota; Metazoa; Chordata; Mammalia; Rodentia; Muridae. The record is from RNAcentral.
UGGAACUCUUUAUAAGCUUGAAGUUGGC